Molecule: microRNA, 22 nt
Filed under: Parasteatoda tepidariorum (common house spider)
Lineage: Eukaryota; Metazoa; Arthropoda; Arachnida; Araneae; Theridiidae
Description: pte-miR-2e-5p
Gene: pte-miR-2e-5p
Source: miRBase by way of RNAcentral
ACGUCGAAGUGGCUGUGAAAUG